UGCUAAAAGUUUUUUUUGAGCCUAAUCUCUCUUAAAAACUGACCUUUCAGAAUUAUAUUAUCUGCGAGAAGGGUGGAACGGAAUGGGGCAUGGGGGUAGAGACAGAGAGGGGGAGAAGGAGCAAUUCUUUUUUUUUUUUUUCUUUUCUGUCCUUCCAGGCUCUGAUUCGUACUUCCCUUUCCUUUCAAAGAUAGUUAUCUGGUUGAUCCUGCCAGUAGUCAUA
Molecule: ribosomal RNA, 223 nt
Filed under: Zygosaccharomyces bailii
Lineage: Eukaryota; Fungi; Ascomycota; Saccharomycetes; Saccharomycetales; Saccharomycetaceae
Description: partial 18S ribosomal RNA
Source: RNAcentral